AUACAGAGGGUGCGAGCGUUAAUCGGAAUUACUGGGCGUAAAGCGCGCGUAGGCGGCUUAUUAAGUCAGAUGUGAAAUCCCCGGGCUCAACCUGGGAACUGCAUCUGAUACUGGUAAGCUAGAGUUUAGGAGAGGGAAGUAGAAUUUCAGGUGUAGCGGUGAAAUGCAUAGAGAUCUGAAGGAAUACCAGUGGCGAAGGCGACUUCCUGGCCUAAAACUGACGCUGAGGUGCGAAAGCGUGGGUAGCAAACGGGAUUAGAAACCCGGGUAGUCC
Molecule: ribosomal RNA, 274 nt
Filed under: uncultured bacterium
Lineage: Bacteria
Description: partial 16S ribosomal RNA
Rfam family: Bacterial small subunit ribosomal RNA
Source: RNAcentral